This 486-nucleotide ribosomal RNA is filed under the name uncultured bacterium. RNAcentral describes it as "partial 16S ribosomal RNA". It matches the Rfam family "Bacterial small subunit ribosomal RNA", at positions 30 to 507 of the family's 1533-position model. The record is from RNAcentral.
AUUGAACGCUGGCGGCAUGCCUUACACAUGCAAGUCGAACGGCAGCACGGGUGCUUGCACCUGGUGGCGAGUGGCGAACGGGUGAGUAAUACAUCGGCACAUGUCCUGUAGUGGGGGAUAGCCCGGCGAAAGCCGGAUUAAUACCGCAUACGAUCUACGGCUGAAAGCGGGGGCCCUUCGGGCCUCGCGCUAUCGGGUUGGCCGAUGGCGGAUUAGGUAGUUGGUGGGGUAAAGGCCUACCAAGGCGACGAUCAGUAGCUGGUCUGAGAGGACGACCAGCCACACUGGGACUGAGACACGGCCCAGACUCCUACGGGAGGCAGCAGUGGGGAAUUUUGGACAAUGGGCGAAAGCCUGAUCCAGCAAUGCCGCGUGUGUGAAGAAGGCCUUCGGGUUGUAAAGCACUUUUGUCCGGAAAGAAAUCCUUGGCUCUAAUACAGUCGGGGGAUGACGGUACCGGAAGAAUAAGCACCGGCUAACUACGUG